Non-coding RNA from Podarcis lilfordi (Lilford's wall lizard), 1564 nucleotides. NCBI's taxonomy places the organism in Eukaryota, Metazoa, Chordata, Lepidosauria, Squamata, Lacertidae. The record is from the annotation of a GenBank genome assembly.
GGAAGGUGGCCUUGCUUCCCCGAAAUAAAACCGGGCACUGUAAAUCUCAGGUGGCUUUUAAAAAUUGUUCUUUUGGAUCGCUCAGGCUCCUAUGUAGGCUCCUAUGAUGUAAGUAAUGGUCUGCUAGCCUGCUCCUUAAAAUAUCACUGGUUUGCUCAUUUCUAUAUACUAUAGGGUGCCUACAUUCUGCUAUUUAUAAUUAUUAGUAGUUUUCAUAAUAUAUUUACACCUAUUAUUAUUUCAUGUUAUAGCAAGUUUCUAGAGACUAAAUUAUCAGUCUUUGUAAAUAGUGUUUCUAAAGGAACUUUUGCUAUUGCCAAAUGCCACUGUGUUUGCAUUAUUAAGUUGGUUAUGAAAAAUCCUUUUAAGUUAGAGCUUAAUAAUUAUUUCACUAUUAAUAUACUUGUUCUUAAUUGUAUUUCACUGUUAAUAUACUAUUUCUUAAUUGUAUUUCAAUUCAAAAAUUACUUUGAUAAAAUACAUAUUUUGUUAUGCGCAAAUGGCCUUAGAUAUCCAUUAGGUCCAUAAAUUACCAUAUAUCAUAUAUUCAACACAAAAAACAGCAACAAUUUGUUGUUGACAAAGGACAGCUGGACAUAUAAAGGGCCCCAUUACCCCUUCAGUAGCUUAGAGUGAAGGAAGGUGAGGACAGGUGACCUCACCUAGGCCCGAAGUCACCCCCCACCAAAGCAGGCUCAAAGCUUCUCAAAACUUUUCAAAAUCAUUUUCUCAGCAGCUAAGCAUCAGAAACAUUCCGCUCUGCUGUAACAAAGGUAGAGAACAGUCCAUUGUUUCUCAGGCCUUUCUCAUGUCUUCUGGCCUUGCUGAAGAACCACAUUGCAACUUACUUUCUGUCCGGAAACCAUGCCAGAACAAGAGAUUGAAACAUAUCUGAACAUGCUGAAAACCCCUUGGCUUCUCACCCCCCCCUUUCCUGGGAAGGGUGCCAAGAGUCCACAAUAGUCCCAAGACAGCUUUCUGUUCAUGCUCAGAGGAACUCCUGAGGGAGGAGAAAGGGGGAGGGAACUGGAAAGAGGUAUACAUGCUUGUGCACAUGAUUGUGAACUCGUGCAUGCUUUUGUAACUUAUCACACUUGCUCCUUCUACCAGUUCAUGGAUGGUAGAAAUAAAAGCCUUUUCUCCGAAACUAUUCCUUGAGUGUCUGUUGACUCCCACUUCCCUUUCCCAGGCGCAAUAUUUUUCCCACCCGAGGGCAAAGCCUCAUAAGGCUACAAGAGCCUCAUCAAACCUAAAUCCGGCCCUGCUCAGGAGUUAUGGAGGAGGCAAGUGUAGCGCAGUGACUCACACAGAGAUGCAACAGGCAGCUGUCCCAGAGGAUGGGUAAGAGCACAGCCUCUGCACUGGGUACGCUUGUAUGAGGCAGUCGCAUCCAGUGCAAAUUACCCAACCUUGCUAACAAAUCAAAUUCAGUUUCCCAGCUGAAACUGAAUGGAGCAAGCAAAGUCCAGAGCGUUAUCUCAUUCAGAGAUGCAACACACACCUUACUCUGAAGAUGUGUAACGGCUCUAUCUCUUGCAUUUCUAUGCUUUAUAGCUCAGUGUGC